This 736-nucleotide long non-coding RNA is filed under the name Olea europaea subsp. europaea. Lineage: Eukaryota; Viridiplantae; Streptophyta; Magnoliopsida; Lamiales; Oleaceae. The record is from RNAcentral.
GUCCAGUUGGCCUAUGGUAAAUUUGGGGAGACCCCAUAUGGCAAGUGCAGGGAUAUGGCCCCCUGCUGUCAGUGGUUUUGGAUUUCAGUCAUCAUCAUCAUCAUCUUCUGGUCCAUCAACAGUUAAUCUGGGUAGUGAGGGUUCUAAUUACUUGCAGAAGAUUGGGUUCCCAGGGUUUGACUUGCCAUCAAGCAAUAUGGGGCCAAUGAGUUUUACCUCAAUUUUGGGUGCUACAAACCAGCAGCUUCCAGGAUUGGAGCUUGGGCUAUCCCAAGAUUCUCAUAUUGGGGUUUUGAAUCCUCAAGCAAUGAACCAGCUUUACCAGCAGAUGGGAGAGUCUAGGAUGCACUCUCAACAGCAGCAGCAUCAGCUUCAGCAGCAACCAUCUCCCAAGGAUGAUUCUCAGGGAUCGGGACAGUAGAUUGGUUCGAAAUACAUAUUCAAGUUUCGAAAAGCACGAAAAAUGAAGGGGUAUCUUUGCGGAGAAGAUGGAUUUUGUGGAUGAUUUGGUUUCUUUCACUGUAACUAUCCAAGAAUUCUAAAAGGUGUGCAUUUGGUUUGCUCAUCCUUCCUUCUCCCAGGCCUACAGCUUCAUCCCAUUCUCCAGAUACAGGUUCUCCUGGAUCAUCAUUUUAUUGUUUUCAUUUUACCUUCAAGUUCCUGUAUAAAUUAUAGAGAUGUUAGAUGUCACUUUUACAGAAUUGCUUAUGCUCUGAAAUCUGGAGGUGGAACUGUG